UGAGUUUGAUCAUGGCUCAGGAUGAACGCUAGCGGCAGGCUUAACACAUGCAAGUCGAGGGGUAACAGCAGAGAGCUUGCUUUCUGGCUGACGACCGGCGAACGGGUGCGUAACGCGUAUGCAACCUACCUCUUACUGGGGGAUAGCCCGGAGAAAUUCGGAUUAACACCCCAUAGUAUUUCAAUUUCGCAUGAUUUUGAAAUUAAAGGUUACGGUAAGAGAUGGGCAUGCGUCCCAUUAGCUAGAUGGUAAGGUAACGGCUUACCAUGGCAACGAUGGGUAGAGGGCCUGAGAGGGUGAUCCCCCACACUGGUACUGAGACACGGACCAGACUCCUACGGGAGGCAGCAGUGAGGAAUAUUGGACAAUGGACGCAAGUCUGAUCCAGCCAUGCCGCGUGCAGGAAGAAUGCCCUAUGGGUUGUAAACUGCUUUUAUUUGGGAAUAAACCCCUUCUCGUGAGGAGGGCUGAAGGUACCAAACGAAUAAGCACCGGCUAACUCCGUGCCAGCAGCCGCGGUAAUACGGAGG
Molecule: ribosomal RNA, 530 nt
Filed under: uncultured Bacteroidota bacterium
Lineage: Bacteria; Pseudomonadati; Bacteroidota
Description: bacterial SSU rRNA
Rfam family: Bacterial small subunit ribosomal RNA
Source: RNAcentral